AUUGAACGCUGGCGGCAGGCCUAACACAUGCAAGUCGAACGGUAACAGGAAGCAGCUUGCUGCUUUGCUGACGAGUGGCGGACGGGUGAGUAAUGUCUGGGAAACUGCCUGAUGGAGGGGGAUAACUACUGGAAACGGCAGCUAAUACCGCAUAACGUCGCAAGACCAAAGAGGGGGACCUUAGGGCCUCUUGCCAUCGGAUGUGCCCAGAUGGGAUUAGCUAGUAGGUGGGGUAACGGCUCACCUAGGCGACGAUCCCUAGCUGGUCUGAGAGGAUGACCAGCCACACUGGAACUGAGACACGGUCCAGACUCCUACGGGAGGCAGCAGUGGGGAAUAUUGCACAAUGGGCGCAAGCCUGAUGCAGCCAUGCCGCGUGUAUGAAGAAGGCCUUCGGGUUGUAAAGUACUUUCAGCGGGGAGGAAGGGAGUAAAGUUAAUACCUUUGCUCAUUGACGUUACCCGCAGAAGAAGCACCGGCUAACUCCGUG
Molecule: ribosomal RNA, 490 nt
Filed under: uncultured bacterium
Lineage: Bacteria
Description: partial 16S ribosomal RNA
Rfam family: Bacterial small subunit ribosomal RNA
Source: RNAcentral